RNAcentral lists this ribosomal RNA (820 nucleotides) under uncultured bacterium. Its description in RNAcentral is "bacterial SSU rRNA". It matches the Rfam family "Bacterial small subunit ribosomal RNA", at positions 636 to 1454 of the family's 1533-position model. The record is from RNAcentral.
CCAAUCUAGAGUAUNGGAGAGGAAAGUGGAAUUCCUAGUGUAGCGGUGAAAUGCGUAGAUAUUAGGAAGAACACCAGUGGCGAAGGCGACUUUCUGGACGAAAACUGACGCUGAGGCGCGAAAGCCAGGGGAGCGAACGGGAUUAGAUACCCCGGUAGUCCUGGCCGUAAACGAUGGGUACUAGGUGUAGGAGGUAUCGACCCCUUCUGUGCCGGAGUUAACGCAAUAAGUACCCCGCCUGGGGAGUACGACCGCAAGGUUGAAACUCAAAGGAAUUGACGGGGGCCCGCACAAGCGGUGGAGUAUGUGGUUUAAUUCGACGCAACGCGAAGAACCUUACCAGGUCUUGACAUUGAUGGACAGAACCAGAGAUGGUUCCUCUUCUUCGGAAGCCAGAAAACAGGUGGUGCACGGUUGUCGUCAGCUCGUGUCGUGAGAUGUUGGGCUAAGUCCCGCAACGAGCGCAACCCCUAUCUUAUGUUGCCAGCACUUUGGGUGGGGACUCAUGAGAGACUGCCGCAGACAAUGCGGAGGAAGGCGGGGAUGACGUCAAAUCAUCAUGCCCCUUAUGACCUGGGCUACACACGUACUACAAUGGGAGUUAAUAGACGGAAGCGAGAUCGCGAGAUGGAGUAAACCCGAGAAACACUCUCUCAGUUCGGAUCGUAGGCUGCAACUCGCCUACGUGAAGUCGGAAUCGCUAGUAAUCGCAGGUCAGCAUACUGCGGUGAAUACGUUCCCGGGCCUUGUACACACCGCCCGUCACACCACGAAAGUCGGAAGUGCCCAAAGCCGGUGGGGUAACCUUCGGGAGCCAGCC